This 429-nucleotide unclassified non-coding RNA is filed under the name Hevea brasiliensis (rubber tree). The record is from RNAcentral. Lineage: Eukaryota; Viridiplantae; Streptophyta; Magnoliopsida; Malpighiales; Euphorbiaceae.
AUAAAAACCAACACAGCACCAGGUCUUUCAUUUCUACAUAUGUGACAAAGCACAUGCUCAAUAAGGUUGAAGCCAAUUGAAUCAGGAUUCCAACAGGAUAGUGAAUCCCUAGUCAGAGGAUUAUACUGCCCAAAAUCAGCUGAUUCUAGUGAUUCCUCAACAGCUGAAGCAAUUUGGGUCUUCCUCUUCCUAAUAGUCUGUUUCUGCAUUUUCCACAUCUUGUCUUGACCAUAGUUAUCAAUUUGAUUAUAUGGAGUUAACCGGUAUCUAGUCAUUUCCAAAAUAUUUUCCAGAAAAUGACUUCUAACGGGAUAAGUAAAACCAGGAAUAUGGAUCAUUGGGGCGCCACCAUAAUAGGAAGAGAAGAGCUCGGCAUUAAGAGUAGCACUCAUCAAAAUCAGCUUCAAUUCAGGUCGACGGGGAAGGAGA